Molecule: ribosomal RNA, 380 nt
Filed under: uncultured Bacteroidales bacterium
Lineage: Bacteria; Pseudomonadati; Bacteroidota; Bacteroidia; Bacteroidales
Description: bacterial SSU rRNA
Rfam family: Bacterial small subunit ribosomal RNA
Source: RNAcentral
GCUAGCUACAGGCUUAACACAUGCAAGUCGAGGGGUAGCAGGGUAGCAAUACCGCUGACGACCGGCGCACGGGUGAGUAACACGUAUCCAACCUUCCCAUAACUCGGGGAUAGCCUUUCGAAAGAAAGAUUAAUACCCGAUAGUACUUAAGAAAGGCAUCUUUUUUAAGUUAAAGAUUUAUUGGUUAUGGAUGGGGAUGCGUUCCAUUAGAUAGUUGGUGAGGUAACGGCUCACCAAGUCUUCGAUGGAUAGGGGCUCUGAGAGGAAGGUCCCCCACAUUGGUACUGAGACACGGACCAAACUCCUACGGGAGGCAGCAGUGAGGAAUAUUGGUCAAUGGGCGAGAGCCUGAACCAGCCAAGUAGCGUGAAGGAUGACGG